GACAGAGGGUGCAAACGUUGUUCGGAAUUACGGGGCGUAAAGCGUGUGUAGGCGGUCCAUUAAGUCGGAUGUGAAAGCCCUGGGCUCAACCCAGGAAGUGCACUCGAAACUGGGAAGCUGGAGUACUGGAGAGGCGAGUGGAAUUCCUGGUGUAGAGGUGAAAUUCGUAGAUAUCAGGAGGAACACCGGUGGCGAAGGCGACUCGCUGGCCAGUAACUGACGCUGAGACGCGAAAGCGUGGGGAGCAAACAGG
Molecule: ribosomal RNA, 253 nt
Filed under: uncultured bacterium
Lineage: Bacteria
Description: partial 16S ribosomal RNA
Rfam family: Bacterial small subunit ribosomal RNA
Source: RNAcentral